UCGUGCUAGGUGGGGCGUUAGCGGUGCCCUGUACUCGUAAUCCGCUCUAGCGAGACUGAAUGCUCUGUCGAGAUUGUUCGCAUGUGGCCUCUGGAGUCAGUAUUUAGAUAUUGAGAGCCUGGUCCUGCGCGGCGAGACCUCGUGAACUCCGUCAGGACCGGAAGGUAGCAGCGGUAAGCGAUAAAUCUCGGGUGCCGUGGGAAUACCGGGUUUGAGUCGGUAUUGGCAUUUAUGCUUCAAUCAGCAACCGAAACGGAGAUGCACGA
RNAcentral lists this signal recognition particle RNA (266 nucleotides) under Chloroflexota bacterium. RNAcentral's name for it is "Chloroflexi bacterium signal recognition particle sRNA large type". It matches the Rfam family "Bacterial large signal recognition particle RNA". Rfam says of the family: The signal recognition particle (SRP) is a universally conserved ribonucleoprotein involved in the co-translational targeting of proteins to membranes. Archaeal SRP consists of a 7S RNA and homologues of the eukaryotic SRP19 and SRP54 proteins. Lineage: Bacteria; Bacillati; Chloroflexota. The record is from RNAcentral.